UACGGAGGGUGCAAGCGUUAUCCGGAUUCACUGGGUUUAAAGGGUGUGUAGGCGGGUAUUUAAGUCAGUGGUGAAAUCUCCGGGCUCAACCCGGAAACUGCCAUUGAUACUAUUUAUCUUGAAUAUUGUUGAGGUAGGCGGAAUAUAUCAUGUAGCGGUGAAAUGCUUAGAUAUGAUAUAGAACACCGAUUGCGAAGGCAGCUUACUAAACAAUUAUUGACGCUGAGGCACGAAAGCAUGGGGAUCAAACAGG
Molecule: ribosomal RNA, 253 nt
Filed under: uncultured bacterium
Lineage: Bacteria
Description: partial 16S ribosomal RNA
Rfam family: Bacterial small subunit ribosomal RNA
Source: RNAcentral